GACGAACGCUGGCGGCGUGCUUAACACAUGCAAGUCGAACGGUGAAGGGAUCAGCUUGCUGGUUCUGGAUGAGUGGCGAACGGGUGAGUAACACGUGAGUAACCUGCCCCCUUCUUCUGGAUAACCGCAUGAAAGUGUGGCUAAUACGGGAUAUUCUGCGCCUGCUGCAUGGUGGGUGUGGGAAAGAUAUUGUUUCGGUGGGGGGUGGGCUCGCGGCCUAUCAGCUUGUUGGUGGGGUGAUGGCCUACCAAGGCGGUGACGGGUAGCCGGCCUGAGAGGGUGGACGGUCACACUGGGACUGAGACACGGCCCAGACUCCUACGGGAGGCAGCAGUGGGGAAUAUUGCACAAUGGGCGCAAGCCUGAUGCAGCGACGCCGCGUGAGGGAUGGAGGCCUUCGGGUUGUGAACCUCUUUCGCCAGUGAAGCAGGCCUGUCCCUUGUGGGUGGGUUGACGGUAGCUGGAUAAGAGGCGCCGGCUAACUACGUG
Molecule: ribosomal RNA, 489 nt
Filed under: uncultured bacterium
Lineage: Bacteria
Description: partial 16S ribosomal RNA
Rfam family: Bacterial small subunit ribosomal RNA
Source: RNAcentral